UUCAAUUAUUUCAUCUGAGGAUUGAAGAGCAAUUUCUAUGCACUGGCGUGUGCAAUGUAACUACUGUUGACUUAUGUUGUUAGGUUCAAUCAUUUGGGAGCAGAUAAGUAUGGACUUCAAUUUCUCACCCUUGUCCUUAAUACUUUUAUUAAUCACUUUAGAAUCCGUAUUGCUAUAAUGGUUGAGACACAUUAAAAAUAUUCAAAUUGUUUUUUAGAAAAUAUAACAGGUUGAAAGAUAAGUUUGAUUAUAUAUUUUUAAAAACCAAAACGGGGAGAUACUUUUUUUCUCUUUCAACUUAACAUGUUAAACUAUGCUGACACUACUACCACAUUUUAUUUAAUAAGAGAAUAUAGAGAUAAGUCAUAGUUACAAACUUAGAGAAUAUUUGAUCUCUUCUUUUUCUUGCUUGAAAUUCCUCUUAUUUGGCAACAAGUGAUUUGAAAUGACUGAAUGAAGAAACUGGUCGAGGCUCAAUGGAAAAGUAUGAGGAAGAAAUAAUAAUGCAGAAGAAGGUAAACAGGUACCUAAGUGUUCCCUAAGGCCCUCACCCUUUUGUUAAUUCCCAUCAAUAGUUAUAUUCUUAUUCCUGCAUAUAUAUAUCAUGUAUAUAUUAUGGUUUAAAAAAAAAUAAAAGAAAAGAAAAAAGAAAAAGAACAACACAAGGUGUAAGGGGAAAAGGACAACAGAGGGAAAUAUCUUGUUCUUUAUAAAAGAAGUUCAAUUGUUGAAGGGAAUAGGAAUCUGAAGGGAUCCAAGCGCUUGAAGACAAAUAUGUUUCUGAAGAUAAAAAUGACUUGCCCUUUUAUUUAAUUGGAAAAAGAAAAAAAGAGAGGGUUUUUGAAUGCUGAGACAUCCCUAGAGCCAUCCUAGACUCUAGUAAACAGGACAAGCCCCUCUCACUAUCUCUUCCUCAAUAUCUUUACCCUUACCCUAUCUUCCUCACGUAUUUGUAUAAUAACCCCACAACUUUUUCAUAUUUGGUGUUUCUAUUUCUAACCUUUAAAGAGUUUAAAAGGGUGGGAAAAAAAAACACAAGGUAGAUUACUCGGGUAUAGUGUCUUUUUUUUUUGUUUCUCCCACAAAAAUAGCUUUGCCUUUUGCUCAUGCCAAAUUGAUAAUAACUCAAAAAAGAAUCUGCCUGGUUUACUCUUCCCAAGUGAAAGCACUAUAUAGCUAUGCCAAGGGAACUCAGAGGGGUAAUUUUGUCAUUUAGGGGGGGUAUAUGAGAAGGCCCUUUAUUUCUUCGUGCUAUAUAUAUGUGUUGCUCAAUUUGUCACAGGUAAUAUACUUGUAGAUCACUUCAUGCCUCAGUUCAGCUCCACAGAAUUUUCAGAAGCAAAAAAACUUGGUCAUCUCAAUUCAUGUUAUCAUGCAUCUUCCAUGUUCUUCAAGAGAGAAACAAGGCUAAGUUUGAAUUUUUUUCCCCUUCCUUUUUUGGAUCAUCAUACUUGGUGUGCCUGGCUCCCUGUAUGCCAUUUGUAGAGCUCGUCAAAACAUUGACAGCCUUAACAAAUGGCGUGCGAGGAGCCAUGCAUGCUGUCUGUUAUUAUUAACUGAUUUAAAGGCGAAGUGUUGUUAUUAUUGGUUUUGAUCUCCUUUUGGUCCAUUCUUCUUUCUUUCCCAUGUUUCUUUUGUGAGGGAAGGAAAUUAAGAAUUGAAAUACAUUUAAUAUGUACUAGUAGAUAUUUAUAACUGCUCAUUUCUUAAUUUUUCUAUGUUAAUACAUAUAGUCUAAGCUUCUAAUCUCCUAAUAGUUAAUUAUGCUUAAUUGUCUUAAGUUAAUCAUCAACUCAACCUUCCUAAUCAACAAUGUCAUUGACUUGAUUAGAUAUAGUAGAUGGGUAGGUUACAUUAGGUAAAAGAUUACAAAAGAAAAAGUGAUUUUUUUUUGAAAUAUAUUUUAAUUUCCAGUAUUUUCCUUCCUCACUUCCUUUCUUAUUGUCAGUUUAGAGGUUGAUUAACUUGCGCUGUCCCUCCUUCUAGUCAAGAUCCUUGUCAUCUCAAAGUUUUAUGAGAUUUAAUCACCUGGCCUAUUUGUUCCAAACUUCCAAUGUAUCAAUUCAUGGGUUAAAUAUGUCGGCCAGGUUCACAGUUGAAUGUGUACUCAUAUACAUACUAUAACAUUUUGUUGUUAUACAUAGAUGUACUAGAAAACCCUUUUAAUUGGUUUGCCUUGUCCAACGGCUAGAGACAGACAAAAUAAACCUUCAUCACGUCUUUGUCAACGGAUAAUGAUGAUUUACAAAAUCUUAUCCUCAA
Arachis ipaensis is the source of this 2262-nucleotide non-coding RNA. Lineage: Eukaryota; Viridiplantae; Streptophyta; Magnoliopsida; Fabales; Fabaceae. The record is from RefSeq and is a predicted model, not a curated record.